This 45-nucleotide non-coding RNA is filed under the name Schistosoma curassoni. The record is from RNAcentral. Lineage: Eukaryota; Metazoa; Platyhelminthes; Trematoda; Strigeidida; Schistosomatidae.
AUCCAGCUGACGAGUUUCAAAUAGGAGGAAACAUGUGGCCUGCAU